This 73-nucleotide transfer RNA is filed under the name Bacteroidota bacterium. RNAcentral's name for it is "Bacteroidetes bacterium (hot springs metagenome) tRNA-Ala". It matches the Rfam family "tRNA". Rfam says of the family: Transfer RNA (tRNA) molecules are approximately 80 nucleotides in length. Their secondary structure includes four short double-helical elements and three loops (D, anti-codon, and T loops). The record is from RNAcentral. Lineage: Bacteria; Pseudomonadati; Bacteroidota. RNAcentral also lists the same sequence under 3 other names.
GGGGAGUUAGCUCAGUUGGUAGAGCGCCAGAAUCGCACUCUGGAGGUCAGCGGUUCGAGUCCGCUACUCUCCA